GACGAACGCUGGCGGCGUGCUUAACACAUGUAAGUCGAGCGGAAAGGCCACUUCGGUGGUACUCGAGCGGCGAACGGGUAAGUAACACGUGAGUAAUCUGCCCCUGGCCUUGGGAUAGCCACCGGAAACGGUGAUUAAUACCGGAUACGACCACUUCUCGCAUGGGAUGGUGGUGGAAAGUUUUUUCGGCCAGGGAUGUGCUCGCGGCCUAUCAGCUUGAUGGUGAGGUAAUGGCUCACCAUGGCUUCGACGGGUAGCCGGCCUGAGAGGGUGACCGGUCACACUGGGACUGAGACACGGCCCAGACUCCUACGGGAGGCAGCAGUGGGGAAUAUUGGACAAUGGGCGGAAGCCUGAUCCAGCAACGCCGCGUGAGGGAUGACGGCCUUCGGGUUGUAAACCUCUUUCAGCAGGGACGAAGCGCAAGUGACGGUACCUGCAGAAGAAGCACCGGCCAACUACGUGCCAGCCGCCGCAGUAA
Molecule: ribosomal RNA, 481 nt
Filed under: uncultured bacterium
Lineage: Bacteria
Description: partial 16S ribosomal RNA
Rfam family: Bacterial small subunit ribosomal RNA
Source: RNAcentral